RNAcentral lists this ribosomal RNA (279 nucleotides) under uncultured bacterium. Its description in RNAcentral is "partial 16S ribosomal RNA". It matches the Rfam family "Bacterial small subunit ribosomal RNA", at positions 506 to 784 of the family's 1533-position model. The record is from RNAcentral.
UGCCAGCCGCCGCGGUAAUACGGAGGGUGCGAGCGUUAAUCGGAAUUAUUGGGCGUAAAGCGCGCGUAGGUGGAUUGUUAAGUCAGAUGUGAAAGCCCCGGGCUCAACCUGGGAAUUGCAUUUGAUACUGGCAGUCUAGAGUAUGGUAGAGGGUAGUGGAAUUCCUGGUGUAGCAGUGAAAUGCGUAGAUAUCAGGAGGAACAUCAGUGGCGAAGGCGACUACCUGGACCAAUACUGACACUGAGGCGCGAAAGCGUGGGUAGCGAACGGGAUUAGAUA